Molecule: ribosomal RNA, 1446 nt
Filed under: metagenome
Description: bacterial LSU rRNA
Rfam family: Bacterial large subunit ribosomal RNA
Source: RNAcentral
UGGUUGUCCUGGUACUUGCAUGUAGGCGGGAAGACUAGGCAAAUCCGGUUUUCUAUUUAAACGCUGAGGUGCGAAGUGGUUCUGGCAUUUCGGUGCACAGGGAAGUAACUGAUACCACGCUUCCAGGAAAAGCUGCUAGCCAUAACUUAUAGAGAACCGUACCGCAAACCGACACAGGUUGACAGGUAGAGUAUACUAAGGCGCAUGAGAGAACUCGGGUGAAGGAACUAGGCAAAAUGGUACCGUAACUUCGGGAGAAGGUACGCCCUUGUUUGUUACUGGACUUGCUCCAGGAAGCGAAUGAGGGCCGCAGAGACCAGGUGGCUGCGACUGUUUAUUAAAAACACAGCACUCUGCAAAUUCGUAAGAAGACGUAUAGGGUGUGACGCCUGCCCGGUGCUGGAAGGUUAAUUGAUGGGGUUAUCCGUAAGGAGAAGCUCUUGAUCGAAGCCCCAGUAAACGGCGGCCGUAACAAUAACGGUCCUAAGGUAGCGAAAUUCCUUGUCGGGUAAGUUCCGACCUGCACGAAUGGCGUAACGAUGGCCACACUGUCUCCACCCGAGACUCAGUGAAAUUGAAAUCGCUGUGAAGAUGCAGUGUACCCGCGGCUAGACGGAAAGACCCCGUGAACCUUUACUAUAGUUUUGCACUGGACUUUGAUGAUAACUGUGUAGGAUAGGUGGGAGGCUAUGAAGUGUGAACGCUAGUUUGCAUGGAGCCAUCCUUGAAAUACCACCCUGUUGUUAUUGAGGUUCUAACUUAGUCCCGUAAUCCGGGAUGAGGACCGUGUAUGAUGGGUAGUUUGACUGGGGCGGUCUCCUCCCAAAGAGUAACGGAGGAGCACAAAGGUACCCUCGGUACGGUCGGACAUCGUACCAAGAGUGUAAAGGCAUAAGGGUGCUUGACUGCGAGAGUGACGGCUCGAGCAGGUACGAAAGUAGGUCUUAGUGAUCCGGUGGUUCUGAAUGGAAGGGCCAUCGCUCAACGGAUAAAAGGUACUCCGGGGAUAACAGGCUGAUACCGCCCAAGAGUUCAUAUCGACGGCGGUGUUUGGCACCUCGAUGUCGGCUCAUCACAUCCUGGGGCUGAAGCAGGUCCCAAGGGUAUGGCUGUUCGCCAUUUAAAGUGGUACGCGAGCUGGGUUUAGAACGUCGUGAGACAGUUCGGUCCCUAUCUGCCGUGGGCGUAGGAAAAUUGAGAGGGUCUGCUCCUAGUACGAGAGGACCGGAGUGGACGAACCUCUGGUGUGCCGGUUGUAACGCCAGUUGCAUAGCCGGGUAGCUAAGUUCGGACGGGAUAACCGCUGAAAGCAUCUAAGCGGGAAGCCUUCCUCAAGAUGAGUUUUCCCAUGAAGCCCGUUGAAGACUACGACGUUGAUAGGAGCGGUGUGGAAGCACAGUAAUGUGUGUAGCUAACGCUUACUAAUUGGCUGAUUGUCUUGACCAU